GAUGAAGAACGCAGCGAAAUGCGAUAAGUAAUGUGAAUUGCAGAAUUCAGUGAGUCAUCGAAUCUUUGAACGCACAUUGCGCCCUGUGGUAUUCCGCAGGGCAUGCCUGUUCGAGCGUCAUUUCAACCCUCAAGCCCCGCUUGGUGUUGGGCCCCGCCCGCCGUGGCCGGCCCUAAAGACAGUGGCGGCGCCGCCUGGCCCUCAGCGUAGUACAGCUCUCGCUCCAGGGUCCGGCGGCCGCCUGCCAGAACCCCCCCAACUCUGUGGUUGACCUCGGAUCAGGUAGGGAUACCCGCUGAACUUAAGCAUAUCAAUAAGCGGAGGA
This 325-nucleotide unclassified non-coding RNA is filed under the name soil metagenome. Its description in RNAcentral is "partial contains 5.8S ribosomal RNA, internal transcribed spacer 2, and large subunit ribosomal RNA". The stretch from base 1 to 120 matches the Rfam family "5.8S ribosomal RNA", at positions 35 to 154 of the family's 154-position model. The record is from RNAcentral.